Molecule: small RNA, 381 nt
Filed under: Streptococcus pyogenes
Lineage: Bacteria; Bacillati; Bacillota; Bacilli; Lactobacillales; Streptococcaceae
Source: RNAcentral
AAUAAAUGCAGUAAUACAGGGGCUUUUCAAGACUGAAGUCUAGCUGAGACAAAUAGUGCGAUUACGAAAUUUUUUAGACAAAAAUAGUCUACGAGGUUUUAGAGCUAUGCUGUUUUGAAUGGUCCCAAAACGGGUGGUUGGCUGACGCAUCGCAAUAUUAAGUUUUAGAGCUAUGCUGUUUUGAAUGGUCCCAAAACAGGAAUAUCCGCAAUAAUUAAUUGCGCUCUGUUUUAGAGCUAUGCUGUUUUGAAUGGUCCCAAAACUAAAUUUGUUUAGCAGGUAAACCGUGCUUUGUUUUAGAGCUAUGCUGUUUUGAAUGGUCUCCAUUCAACAUUGCCGAUGAUAACUUGAGAAAGAGGGUUAAUACCAGCAGUCGGAUAC